Molecule: ribosomal RNA, 253 nt
Filed under: uncultured bacterium
Lineage: Bacteria
Description: partial 16S ribosomal RNA
Rfam family: Bacterial small subunit ribosomal RNA
Source: RNAcentral
UACGUAGGGCGCAAGCGUUGUCCGGAAUUAUUGGGCGUAAAGAGCUCGUAGGCGGUUUGUCGCGUCUGCUGUGAAAACCUAAGGCUCAACCUUGGGCUUGCAGUGGGUACGGGCAGACUAGAGUGCGGUAGGGGUGACUGGAAUUCCUGGUGUAGCGGUGGAAUGCGCAGAUAUCAGGAGGAACACCGAUGGCGAAGGCAGGUCACUGGGCCGCAACUGACGCUGAGGAGCGAAAGCUAGGGGAGCGAAUGGG